UGCCAAACCUGUCCCGCCA
RNAcentral lists this non-coding RNA (19 nucleotides) under Arabidopsis thaliana (thale cress). Lineage: Eukaryota; Viridiplantae; Streptophyta; Magnoliopsida; Brassicales; Brassicaceae. The record is from RNAcentral.